Molecule: long non-coding RNA, 1151 nt
Filed under: Equus caballus (horse)
Lineage: Eukaryota; Metazoa; Chordata; Mammalia; Perissodactyla; Equidae
Description: lncRNA (ENSECAG00000050909.1)
Source: RNAcentral
GCCAGGUCUUUCCCACUACCCGACACUGCUCUUCUGGCAAAGCCGACAUCAGUGUAGAGGCACGAAUCAGCCUGACACGUGUAGGAAAUGAAGUCGUUUAGAGAGCCUCAGGAUGACACAGCAGGAAGAAAUGAUUCCACUGAGGGUUUUCCAAUGUUAGGGUCCACGGAUAAUCAGCUGGCUUGGGGUUACGUAACUGCCUCCCUGCCAAGAGGCCAGCCUUGGCUGCUCCCCGUGGAAACAUCUAGGGAGACAGCGACCUCCAGGAGACAGCGACCUCCGCGACGCAGCACAGACUGAGCUGGGAAGCUACCAACUUAGCCUGCCUCGGUUUCAUGGAUGCCGGUAGAUGACACGAGACUCCUGUAUCAGAAACAAACGACUCUGUUACAGCACAGCAAGCAGCAGGAGCAUCACCAUAUCUGCAUCAGGUCCCCUUGCCACAGUCCCAUGGUAGUGAAUGCACCAGCCCAGAGGAUUGCCUACACCUGCAGUGGGAUGCAUUACAGAAGAGGAAUCCUGAGCUUAGAGAACCCACAUCUUCCAUAACGUUCAGUAAGCAUGCCUGUCUUUUGCUCUGAAGGAUACGUCCUUCUAUCUUUCAAGGUGGUUUACUAUAUAAACAUCUUUAAAAAGAUGAUCUGGGACAAAGAACAGUUGGUGCCUCUCCUGCAAGACAUGCAGAAAAAUGAGAGACCCAUGGAGAAUUGUCUCCCAACACCUGCCUACAGAAAAUGUUCAGUAAACAGAACUGUGUUGUUAUUAACUACUGAGUUAUUUUAUAUACCUGGAUCUGUCUUUGGGCUUUCUAUUCUCUUUUAUUCUUUCAUUAUACCACUUAGAUGUAGUUAAUCUUAUGUUUCAUGAGAAAAAUCAAUGUCAUUUUAAGAACAUUACUUUGAUAUCAAUGCUGAAUGGAUGACUAAUUUAAAUAAAGUUGUGUAUAGCAUAGUUGUUCUAGUAUUUGUCAAGGAGGAAAAAUUGGUUCACAAAGAAGCCACUGUCCACUUCAUUUCGUGCUCCAAACACCUACCAAUGAUAGACAGAACGUCUUUUAACAGUGGAAGCUGGAGAAUCUGCCUUCCAGGAAUUCCUUGAAGCUGGGCUCCACGCAUGUGGCCUCAUCUCUGCCAAUCAGAGGAGUCCCCGUG